This 447-nucleotide ribosomal RNA is filed under the name uncultured bacterium. Its description in RNAcentral is "bacterial SSU rRNA". It matches the Rfam family "Bacterial small subunit ribosomal RNA", at positions 355 to 825 of the family's 1533-position model. The record is from RNAcentral.
UCGGGAAUUUUGGGCAAUGGGCGAAAGCCUGAUCCAGCAAUGCCGCGUGAGUGAUGAAGGCCUUAGGGUUGUAAAGCUCUUUUACCAGGGAUGAUAAUGACAGUACCUGGAGAAUAAGCUCCGGCUAACUCCGUGCCAGCAGCCGCGGUAAUACGGAGGGAGCUAGCGUUGUUCGGAAUUACUGGGCGUAAAGCGUACGUAGGCGGUUAUUCAAGUCAGAGGUGAAAGCCCGGGGCUCAACCCCGGAACGGCCUUUGAAACUAGAUAGCUAGAAUCUUGGAGAGGUCAGUGGAAUUCCGAGUGUAGAGGUGAAAUUCGUAGAUAUUCGGAAGAACACCAGUGGCGAAGGCGACUGACUGGACAAGUAUUGACGCUGAGGUACGAAAGCGUGGGGAGCAAACAGGAUUAGAUACCCAGGUAGUCCCUGAGCGGGCUGGCAAGGCGCAU